RNAcentral lists this unclassified non-coding RNA (548 nucleotides) under Hevea brasiliensis (rubber tree). Lineage: Eukaryota; Viridiplantae; Streptophyta; Magnoliopsida; Malpighiales; Euphorbiaceae. The record is from RNAcentral.
GGAACACGCCGUUCUCUGCCUUUGUUUCCUCUUCCUAUGAAUCCCACUUCUCUUUGCGUUAGUAGGGCCUUGUUUCCACUUUCCAUUUCCCAUUUCUCAGUCUUUCAAUUGCUAACUCUCUAUCACAAUUCACAGAGCCUUAGAUUUAACCAUUUCUCUCCAAUCUCCAUUGCGCCGCCCCACAAUUCACAGAGCCUCAAAGGUCAUAGCCCUCACGUCGAUCUUCCCCAUUUAUCUAAUCUACAUCGCGUAUCUUUCAUGCAAGGCAAUCUCCGUCAGCCUUCUUAGUUUCCAUGAAUCCCUCGCUACUCACAUAGCCACUGUUGCCAUCUGUGGUGGUGGCGGUGGUGCCCAUGUGCCGAAGUCUCUGAUUCUCUCGAUUGUGGGCUUUUCUACUCUUGGUUGAAUAGUGUUCUCUACUCUUGAUUGAUUAGUGUUCUCCUAUUGUUGGGUUUGGGUGAGUAUGUCACUGUAUAUUCUACUUUUCAAUUUAAAUUUACAGUGUAUAUUCUAAUAUAUUAAGUAAAUGUUGAAAUGUUGAUUGGUUG